CGUAGGGUGCGAGCGUUGUCCGGAAUUACUGGGCGUAAAGAGCUCGUAGGUGGUUUGUCGCGUCGUCUGUGAAAUUCCGGGGCUUAACUUCGGGCGUGCAGGCGAUACGGGCAAUACUUGAGUGCUGUAGGGGAGACUGGAAUUCCUGGUGUAGCGGUGGAAUGCGCAGAUAUCAGGAGGAACACCGAUGGCGAAGGCAGGUCUCUGGGCAGUAACUGACGCUGAGGAGCGAAAGCAUGGGUAGCGAACAGGAUUAGA
This 258-nucleotide ribosomal RNA is filed under the name uncultured prokaryote. Its description in RNAcentral is "partial 16S ribosomal RNA". It matches the Rfam family "Bacterial small subunit ribosomal RNA", at positions 526 to 782 of the family's 1533-position model. The record is from RNAcentral.